This 494-nucleotide ribosomal RNA is filed under the name uncultured bacterium. RNAcentral's name for it is "partial 16S ribosomal RNA". It matches the Rfam family "Bacterial small subunit ribosomal RNA", at positions 28 to 504 of the family's 1533-position model. The record is from RNAcentral.
GAUGAACGCUGGCGGCGUGCCUAAUACAUGCAAGUCGAGCGAACGGACGAGAAGCUUGCUUUUCUGAUGUUAGCGGCGGACGGGUGAGUAACACGUGGAUAACCUACCUAUAAGACUGGGAUAACUUCGGGAAACCGGAGCUAAUACCGGAUAAUAUUUUGAACCGCAUGGUUCAAAAGUGAAAGACGGUCUUGCUGUCACUUAUAGAUGGAUCCGCGCUGCAUUAGCUAGUUGGUAAGGUAACGGCUUACCAAGGCAACGAUGCAUAGCCGACCUGAGAGGGUGAUCGGCCACACGGGAACUGAGACACGGUCCAGACUCCGACGGGAGGCAGCAGUAGGGAAUCUUCCGCAAUGGGCGAAAGCCUGACGGAGCAACGCCGCGUGAGUGAUGAAGGUCUUCGGAUCGUAAAACUCUGUUAUUAGGGAAGAACAUAUGUGUAAGUAACUGUGCACAUCUUGACGGUACCUAAUCAGAAAGCCACGGCUAACUAC